UACAGAGGUCUCAAGCGUUGUUCGGAUUCAUUGGGCGUAAAGGGUGUGUAGGUGGCGCGCUAAGUCGGGUGUGAAAUUUCGGAGCUUAACUCCGAAACUGCAUUCGAUACUGGCGUGCUUGAGGACUGGAGAGGAGACUGGAAUUCAUGGUGUAGCAGUGAAAUGCGUAGAGAUCAUGAGGAAGACCAGUGGCGAAGGCGGGUCUCUGGACAGUUCCUGACACUGAGACACGAAGGCCAGGGGAGUAAACGGG
RNAcentral lists this ribosomal RNA (253 nucleotides) under uncultured bacterium. RNAcentral describes it as "partial 16S ribosomal RNA". It matches the Rfam family "Bacterial small subunit ribosomal RNA", at positions 524 to 776 of the family's 1533-position model. The record is from RNAcentral.